UACGUAGGUGGACAAGCGUUGUCCGGAUUUACUGGGCGUAAAGAGCGCGCAGGCGGUCGUUCAAGUCGCGUGUGAAAGCCCCCGGCUCAACUGGGGAGGGUCACGCGAUACUGAUCGACUCGAAGGCAGGAGAGGGAAGUGGAAUUCCCGGUGUAGUGGUGAAAUGCGUAGAUAUCGGGAGGAACACCAGUGGCGAAGGCGACUUCCUGGCCUGUUCUUGACGCUGAGGCGCGAAAGCUAGGGGAGCAAACGGG
RNAcentral lists this ribosomal RNA (254 nucleotides) under uncultured bacterium. RNAcentral's name for it is "partial 16S ribosomal RNA". It matches the Rfam family "Bacterial small subunit ribosomal RNA", at positions 524 to 776 of the family's 1533-position model. The record is from RNAcentral.